This is a long non-coding RNA of Apis cerana (Asiatic honeybee), 2436 nucleotides long. RefSeq lists it as uncharacterized. Lineage: Eukaryota; Metazoa; Arthropoda; Insecta; Hymenoptera; Apidae. The record is from RefSeq and is a predicted model, not a curated record.
CUUUCUUCGUCGAAUCGCAGACCAGUGUGGACGAUGUAAUAGAAGAGGAAUAUCGGAUCGAUAUCGAGGCUGUUUCGGGGGGAGGAGGAAAAAAUGAAACGAGUUGAACUUGCCCUCCCUCCCCUCCCCCAGAUAUUUCUAACAGUCGGUGUAGUGUAAUAAAGUAUUCUCAUACAGUAUUCAUCGGUGGCCAUGUCGCGGCAAGGUUGGGCCUUGGCAUAGUGACAUAAUUCCCCGCACGGUUUGUAUCGCCGCUACUACUAGCUAGUAACACGCUAGCCCACCGACCGACCGACCAAUCGGCGGUGACCGUGAGCCUCUCGUGGAAUAAUCGGUUGUUCCGUUCGGCCGCUACUCGCUGGUCGUCGCUGCGAUAGCGAGCGAGCGGCUAGCGUGUUCUCCCUCUUCGGUUCAUCGCUUGAUCGAUGACGUAAGGUCGUUCGCUUUCACCUAGCGAGUGCCUCAAACUGCUCCGGGACACGAAGAAACAUUGAAAGCCGGGUGCAAGUUUCGGCUCGCGUGCAUUCCGCCUCGAAAACGCAGCCGCCUCACCUUCAACGUCUUGGAAGCGUGCAAUCUCGCUUCCAUCUGGGCUCAUGCUAAUGAGAUACGUAUAUAUAUAUAUAUAUACAUAUAUAUACAUGUAUACAUAUAUAUGUGUAUAUAAUUUACUUGGACAGUUAACAUUGACCGGAUAAGGUGGAAUGACUUCAUUUAGUUCGUUUUAAUGUUCGCGUUCUGAGUGUAUCGUUUAAGUUAUAAUACAUAUAAAUCGCAAAAGACGAUUUCAAAUGAUCUUUACACAUCCAUCCAUAAAAAGACUAUUAUAUAUAUAUAUAUGUAUCGCGUAACGUGUCUCCUAGAAAAUUUCAUUUUCGUAAGAUCGUAUUUCUUUCUCGUAAGUUCAAUUCUUUGCGAGACGUUCCAUUGUUCCCUUAAAUAUACGUCAUACGACCCUACAUAAGAGAUUAAAAAUGUACGGAUUCAAAAUACUUAAAUCAACGUAAUCGGAUUAAUACGUGCAAUUAACAACGUUAUUAAUACAAAUCCCUCUUUUCGUAACUAGCCACGUGCAAAUAACGUGCAAGUCUUUUCGAACGAAGCAAUAUGUAUGCCGGCCAAUCUUUGCUAAUCUCUUAGAUGUUGACGCACGCCUGGUCGUAUCGGUUCGGUUGAUCGACAUUAUGGACGAGUCGUGAGAAACUGGAUCAGCUUGCUCUCGGGAGUUAGGGCGUUCUACUUUUCGAGUGCGGUGCAACGAUGAUGCAAGAAACGGGAGAAGAGUGGGGGAAGAGAUGGAGGAGGAGGAGAGGGAGCUGUAGUUGUUCUCCGUUAAAAAUGCGACCACUACUCCUCUCGGUCGCAUUGUCUCCACACGAGGGGGAAGCUGAAUUGUGAUAUUCAAGCGAAACAUCGAAAACGUUUAAGCGUUUACCGUUAACACGACUCAAUCUUGUUGAAAACAGGUUUUCACGAAAAGUUUCUGCUUCCAUCCCCGGCCAGCUUAAUUAGCACGCUUUAUAACCAAGUCGGCAGGAAUCAGAUUAGUUACGUUACGGUUCACACGGCACGUAUUCCCAUUAUUGGUCGAAUCCAAUAGGUGUACGAAAUGAAAAGAAGCACGCAGGAAAUGGAACGAGAUUGGAAAGAACGACGACUCGAAUAUGAUGAACAUAAACACGGAGGUAUAAUUCCAGAAUUUGCUUCGCCACUUUAACUUUUACGAGGACGAGAGAUGUCUAUUAUCAAUUAAAAUUAUUCCAAGUAAGAAUAAAAGAAAAAAAAGAAUCUUUUUAAUAAUAAAGGAAUCCUCGAAGCAUAAUAUUUUAUUUCACUUGACAAUCGCUGCUUUGAAAGUAUUAUAACAAACCUUUUGAUAUCCUAUGUAGUGUUAACCCGAAAAGAGAGUAAGGAUGAGAAUCUGAACGAGGGAAAUCUGUUCUCUUUAUAUUAUAGAAAGAUUAUAGAAAGUUGUUUGAACUUUUAAAACUUUUUCAUGUAAUUCCCGAUUUGAUUCGACGAUUGAUAAAGAGUUUCGUUCUCGUAUUAUCGAAAGAGUGAUAAAAAAAAAAAUUUGUACCAAAAAUUUAACCUGUGGAUGAUGUGAAAAUUUUACUCCUAGAUGAAUCUCUGUGGAGGAGAUUACGUUGAGCAGGAAGUCUAAUCCCUUCACCGUGUCGUUCAAUUUGUCAGUGCUCGGCAACGAUACUCGUGCAUUCGUCGGAAGAUGGCUAGACAAAACUGUCACUCUAUUUCCAUCCUUCUUGCCAUCACACGCGUUCUUACUAUUAAUAAAUUAAACGCAAUGACAAAGAUCGAUGAUGGCCAUAUAUAGAGACAGAGUGGAAUAAAAUAAUUUCACGAUAUUGUUCCUCUAAUCAAAAAAAUUGUUAUAAAUAAAUAGCCAAUUCUUUCGAUUGGCAGGUUACAUCAAAA